GGUUUGUGGCUCAGUGGUAGAGCACUCAUCUGGCAUGCAUGAGGCACUGGGUUUGAUCCUCAGCACCA
RNAcentral lists this transfer RNA (68 nucleotides) under Marmota monax (woodchuck). Its description in RNAcentral is "tRNA.Ala". Lineage: Eukaryota; Metazoa; Chordata; Mammalia; Rodentia; Sciuridae. The record is from RNAcentral.